GACAGAGGUCCCGAGCGUUAGGCGGAAUCACUGGGCUUAAAGCGUGUGUAGGCGGAGUGCUAAGUACCUUGUGAAAUCCCACGGCUCAACCGUGGAACUGCUCGGUAUACUGGUUCUCUUGAGCCACCUAGGGGCAACCGGAACAAACGGUGGAGCGGUGAAAUGCGUAGAUAUCGUUUGGAACGCCAAUGGUGAAAACAGGUUGCUGGGGGUGUGCUGACGCUGAGACACGAAAGCCAGGGGAGCAAACGGG
Molecule: ribosomal RNA, 253 nt
Filed under: uncultured bacterium
Lineage: Bacteria
Description: partial 16S ribosomal RNA
Rfam family: Bacterial small subunit ribosomal RNA
Source: RNAcentral